RNAcentral lists this ribosomal RNA (573 nucleotides) under Trichoderma harzianum. RNAcentral describes it as "eukaryotic LSU rRNA". The stretch from base 198 to 351 matches the Rfam family "5.8S ribosomal RNA". The record is from RNAcentral. Lineage: Eukaryota; Fungi; Ascomycota; Sordariomycetes; Hypocreales; Hypocreaceae.
GUCGAGUAACUCCCAACCCAAUGUGAACGUUACCAAACUGUUGCCUCGGCGGGAUCUCUGCCCCGGGUGCGUCGCAGCCCCGGACCAAGGCGCCCGCCGGAGGACCAACCAAAACUCUUAUUGUAUACCCCCUCGCGGGUUUUUUUAUAAUCUGAGCCUUCUCGGCGCCUCUCGUAGGCGUUUCGAAAAUGAAUCAAAACUUUCAACAACGGAUCUCUUGGUUCUGGCAUCGAUGAAGAACGCAGCGAAAUGCGAUAAGUAAUGUGAAUUGCAGAAUUCAGUGAAUCAUCGAAUCUUUGAACGCACAUUGCGCCCGCCAGUAUUCUGGCGGGCAUGCCUGUCCGAGCGUCAUUUCAACCCUCGAACCCCUCCGGGGGGUCGGCGUUGGGGAUCGGCCCUGCCUUGGCGGUGGCCGUCUCCGAAAUACAGUGGCGGUCUCGCCGCAGCCUCUCCUGCGCAGUAGUUUGCACACUCGCAUCGGGAGCGCGGCGCGUCCACAGCCGUUAAACACCCAACUUCUGAAAUGUUGACCUCGGAUCAGGUAGGAAUACCCGCUGAACUUAAGCAUAUCUA